GGUUGCGAUCAUACCAGCACUAAUGCACCGGAUCCCAUCAGAACUCUGCAGUUAAGCAUGUUUGGGCGAGAGUAGUACUAGGAUGGGUGACCCCCUGGGAAGUCCUCGUGUUGCAACCCC
This 120-nucleotide ribosomal RNA is filed under the name Helianthus annuus (common sunflower). Lineage: Eukaryota; Viridiplantae; Streptophyta; Magnoliopsida; Asterales; Asteraceae. The record is from RNAcentral.